This 105-nucleotide microRNA precursor is filed under the name Culex quinquefasciatus (southern house mosquito). Its description in RNAcentral is "microRNA cqu-mir-278 precursor". Its record names the gene cqu-mir-278. The stretch from base 14 to 93 matches the Rfam family "mir-278 microRNA precursor family". Lineage: Eukaryota; Metazoa; Arthropoda; Insecta; Diptera; Culicidae. The record is from miRBase by way of RNAcentral.
AAGUUCUGGUCUUGGUGCGGACGGACGAUAGUCUUCAGCGACCGUGCCAUUUGAAAACCCUUUGGGUCGGUGGGACUUUCGUCCGUUUGUAACCGCCAGUUGCAA